ACAGCAGCAGCCGCGGGAAUACGUAGGGUGCAAGCGUUAAUCGGAAUUACUGGGCGUAAAGCGUGCGCAGGCGGUUCGCUAAGACAGAUGUGAAAUCCCCGGGCUCAACCUGGGAACUGCAUUUGAGACUGUAUGGCUAGAGUGUGUCAGAGGGGGGUAGAAUUCCACGUGUAGCAGUGAAAUGCGUAGAUAUGUGGAGGAAUACCGAUGGCGAAGGCAGCCCCCUGGGAUAACACUGACGCUCAUGCACGAAAGCGUGGGGAGCAAACAGGAUUAGAUACCCGCGUAGCCCUGUCUCUUAUACA
This 305-nucleotide ribosomal RNA is filed under the name uncultured bacterium. RNAcentral's name for it is "partial 16S ribosomal RNA". It matches the Rfam family "Bacterial small subunit ribosomal RNA", at positions 505 to 809 of the family's 1533-position model. The record is from RNAcentral.